Molecule: long non-coding RNA, 430 nt
Organism: Hyla sarda
Lineage: Eukaryota; Metazoa; Chordata; Amphibia; Anura; Hylidae
Exons: 3
Source: RefSeq, a predicted model, not a curated record
CUCUCCAUAUACCUUCUUGCCAAUGGUUCAUUUGGCAUAUAGACAGUUUGAUACUGAACAUGCAUAUAAGGCUACUCAGUGAGUUGCGUGCCACAAGCUUCGCCUUCUUUCUGCAGUGAGUGGCGGUGGGCUGCAGUCUCCUUCUCUUUCCAGUUCAUCCUCUUUAUUUUCUUCAUAGACCACCUACAAAAACCCAGCAGGGGACACCCUUAAUUCAUCUAGGCAUUGCAAAUUCAUGCAAAUGUUACAAAGCGCACAUAAGGUCAGUAACAUCCGUGGCACAGCAAUGAGCUCCUCUACAUGGCUUAGCACUAAUUUGGCAAGACGCCAAGGAUUCUUGCUGGAGAGAAGCUACAUCCCGUUUAAACUACAGAAGGCAAGUUAAUGUGCCUUCUUUAGAAGAGUAAUGUAUCGAUUGUCUGGUGAGCCC